RNAcentral lists this ribosomal RNA (468 nucleotides) under uncultured bacterium. Its description in RNAcentral is "partial 16S ribosomal RNA". It matches the Rfam family "Bacterial small subunit ribosomal RNA", at positions 28 to 507 of the family's 1533-position model. The record is from RNAcentral.
GACGAACGCUGGCGGCGUGCUUAACACAUGCAAGUCGAACGGAAAGGCCCUGCUUUUGUGGGGUGCUCGAGUGGCGAACGGGUGAGUAACACGUGAGUAACCUGCCCUUGACUUUGGGAUAACUUCAGGAAACUGGGGCUAAUACCGGAUAGGAUCUCCUGCUGCAUGGUGGGGGUUGGAAAGUUUCGGCGGUUGGGGAUGGACUCGCGGCUUAUCAGCUUGUUGGUGGGGUAGUGGCUUACCAAGGCUUUGACGGGUAGCCGGCCUGAGAGGGUGACCGGCCACAUUGGGACUGAGAUACGGCCCAGACUCCUACGGGAGGCAGCAGUGGGGAAUAUUGCACAAUGGGCGGAAGCCUGAUGCAGCAACGCCGCGUGCGGGAUGACGGCCUUCGGGGUGUAAACCGCUUUCGCCUGUGACGAAGCGUGAGUGACGGUAAUGGGUAAAGAAGCACCGGCUAACUACGUG